RNAcentral lists this ribosomal RNA (253 nucleotides) under uncultured bacterium. RNAcentral's name for it is "partial 16S ribosomal RNA". It matches the Rfam family "Bacterial small subunit ribosomal RNA", at positions 524 to 776 of the family's 1533-position model. The record is from RNAcentral.
UACGAAGGGGGCUAGCGUUGUUCGGAAUCACUGGGCGUAAAGGGCGCGUAGGCGGCGUUUUUAAGUCGGGGGUGAAAGCCUGUGGCUCAACCACAGAAUGGCCUCGAUACUGGGACGCUUGAGUAUGGUAGAGGUUGGUGGAACUGCGAGUGUAGAGGUGAAAUUCGUAGAUAUUGGGAAGAACACCGGUGGCGAAGGCGGCCAACUGGACCACAACUGACGCUGAGGCGCGAAAGCGUGGGGAGCAAACAGG